Molecule: ribosomal RNA, 497 nt
Filed under: uncultured bacterium
Lineage: Bacteria
Description: partial 16S ribosomal RNA
Rfam family: Bacterial small subunit ribosomal RNA
Source: RNAcentral
GAUGAACGCUGGCGGCGUGCCUAAUACAUGCAAGUCGAGCGAACAGACGAGGAGCUUGCUCCUCUGACGUUAGCGGCGGACGGGUGAGUAACACGUGGAUAACCUACCUAUAAGACUGGGAUAACUUCGGGAAACCGGAGCUAAUACCGGAUAAUAUAUUGAACCGCAUGGUUCAAUAGUGAAAGACGGUUUUGCUGCCACUUAUAGAUGGAUCUGCGCCGCAUUAGCUAGUUGGUAAGGUAACGGCUUACCAAGGCAACGAUGCGUAGCCGACCUGAGAGGGUGAUCGGCCACACUGGAACUGAGACACGGUCCAGACUCCUACGGGAGGCAGCAGUAGGGAAUCUUCCGCAAUGGGCGAAAGCCUGACGGAGCAACGCCGCGUGAGUGAUGAAGGUCUUCGGAUCGUAAAACUCUGUUAUUAGGGAAGAACAAAUGUGUAAGUAACUAUGCACGUCUUGACGGUACCUAAUCAGAAAGCCACGGCUAACUACGUG